UACGGAGGGUGCGAGCGUUGUUCGGAAUCACUGGGCGUAAAGCGCGUGUAGGCGGCCUGCUAAGUCUGAUGUGAAAGCCCGAGGCUCACCCUCGGAAGUGCAUUGGAAACUGGCAGACUGGAGUCCCGGAGAGGAGGGUGGAAUUCCUGGUGUAGCGGUGAAAUGCGUAGAUAUCUGGAGGAACACCGGUGGCGAAGGCGACAUCCUGGACCAAUACUGACGCUGAGUGAGCGAAAGCCAGGGGAGCAAACGGG
RNAcentral lists this ribosomal RNA (254 nucleotides) under uncultured bacterium. RNAcentral's name for it is "partial 16S ribosomal RNA". It matches the Rfam family "Bacterial small subunit ribosomal RNA", at positions 524 to 776 of the family's 1533-position model. The record is from RNAcentral.